UUGAUCCUGGCUCAGGACGAACGCUGGCUGCGUGCUUAACACAUGCAAGUCGAACGCUGAAGCCUGGUGCUCGCACCGGGUGGAUGAGUGGCGAACGGGUGAGUAACACGUGAGUAACCUGCCCCUGACUUCGGGAUAAGCCCGGGAAACUGGGUCUAAUACCGGAUACGACUGCCGGACGCAUGUCUGGUGGUGGAAAGUUUUUUCGGUUGGGGAUGGGCUCGCGGCCUAUCAGUUUGUUGGUGAGGUAAUGGCUCACCAAGACGACGACGGGUAGCCGGCCUGAGAGGGCGACCGGCCACACUGGGA
Molecule: ribosomal RNA, 309 nt
Filed under: uncultured Brevibacterium sp.
Lineage: Bacteria; Bacillati; Actinomycetota; Actinomycetes; Micrococcales; Brevibacteriaceae
Description: bacterial SSU rRNA
Rfam family: Bacterial small subunit ribosomal RNA
Source: RNAcentral